UACAGAGGGGGCAAGCGUUAUUCGGAAUUAUUGGGCGUAAAGGGCGCGUAGGCGGCUCGUUAAGUGGCUGGUGAAAUCCCGGGGCUCAACUCCGGGGCUGCCGGUCAUACUGGCGAGCUGGAGCACGGUAGAGGCGGAUGGAAUUCCCGGUGUAGCGGUGGAAUGCGUAGAUAUCGGGAAGAAUACCGGUGGCGAAGGCGUUCCGCUGGGCCGUUGCUGACGCUGAGGCGCGACAGCGUGGGGAGCAAACAGG
RNAcentral lists this ribosomal RNA (253 nucleotides) under uncultured bacterium. RNAcentral describes it as "partial 16S ribosomal RNA". It matches the Rfam family "Bacterial small subunit ribosomal RNA", at positions 524 to 776 of the family's 1533-position model. The record is from RNAcentral.